This is a small nuclear RNA of Ursus americanus (American black bear), 107 nucleotides long. NCBI's taxonomy places the organism in Eukaryota, Metazoa, Chordata, Mammalia, Carnivora, Ursidae. The record is from Ensembl.
GUGCUCACUUCAGCAGAACAUAUACUAAAAUCAGAAUGAUACAGAGAAGAUUAGCAUGGCUGCUGCUCAAGGAUGACAUGCAAAUUCAUGAAGUGUUCCAUAAUUUU